UCUGUGGAAAGAGGAAAGAGAAGACAGAUACAAGACAACGCCACUUCCCUAACUGACGCCGGCUGCUAUUAAGCGCAUGCACCGGUGAACAUCGAAAUCACCAGGGCAGGCUGCAACACUCCCAGUCUGCUGGGCCAUUCUGCAGAAAGGUACAACCAAAAUAGUGUGAAUUUGCUUGGGGAAUUGGCAUCUUUUACUCCUCAUAGAGCAGCAGAACCUGGAAAACUGAAACAGGCUGUGCAGCUAUAAAGAAUCCUGGAUUCCAACACUGAUUCCAAAGCCUUCAACAGUGCUGCAGAAUACGCUGCCUCACUGCAGGGGCUCUUUUGUCCAGGUUUAAGUCUGGCACCAAAAGAAGCAAGGACAUGCCUAACACAGGCACUGAGAGACAACCUGGAAGGAAAAGUGCUGCCAAGGAUUGAUGCACACCCCGAUUUCCCCAGCUUUCAGCAAGUCAUCCUCAACCUACCACAGUAUCUCAUUUAUGGAAAAAUAUAAUCACAUCCUUCAAAACCA
Long non-coding RNA from Tympanuchus pallidicinctus (lesser prairie-chicken), 516 nucleotides. RefSeq lists it as uncharacterized. The record is from RefSeq and is a predicted model, not a curated record. NCBI's taxonomy places the organism in Eukaryota, Metazoa, Chordata, Aves, Galliformes, Phasianidae. The transcript has 2 exons.